AUCUGGACAUGAUGUGAAGACCCACAAGGAAUAUUAUCAGUUGUCUUCCAGUACCAUGGAACUCUCAAAGGUUGCCCUGAUGUUGUAUGCUGUUGAAAAUGGUAAAGUCAAUGAGUGGAAGGGAAGGCAGAUGAAGGACAUAGUAGUAGAAGAUUUACCUCUUCCAUUGAAGACGAAGAUGGCCAUCAAGAAGAGUCCAUGUCAACUGCUGACAGUGAAGAGCCAGGCAGUCUGACCCAUGAUAGGAGGGAGCCAAGUGAAGAGCCAGCCAGUCUGACCCAUGAUAGAAGGGAGCCAAGUGAAGAGCCAGCCAGUC
Dreissena polymorpha is the source of this 316-nucleotide long non-coding RNA. RefSeq lists it as uncharacterized. The transcript is spliced from 4 exons. The record is from RefSeq and is a predicted model, not a curated record. NCBI's taxonomy places the organism in Eukaryota, Metazoa, Mollusca, Bivalvia, Myida, Dreissenidae.